CGUGAGCAUAGUUUAACCCAAAACACUAAGUUGUGGACUUAGAAACAAAGGCCAACCUUUUGCCCACC
This 68-nucleotide transfer RNA is filed under the name Hemidactylus platyurus (flat-tailed house gecko). Its description in RNAcentral is "tRNA-His". It matches the Rfam family "tRNA". Rfam says of the family: Transfer RNA (tRNA) molecules are approximately 80 nucleotides in length. Their secondary structure includes four short double-helical elements and three loops (D, anti-codon, and T loops). The record is from RNAcentral. Lineage: Eukaryota; Metazoa; Chordata; Lepidosauria; Squamata; Gekkonidae.